RNAcentral lists this ribosomal RNA (253 nucleotides) under uncultured bacterium. Its description in RNAcentral is "partial 16S ribosomal RNA". It matches the Rfam family "Bacterial small subunit ribosomal RNA", at positions 524 to 776 of the family's 1533-position model. The record is from RNAcentral.
UACGUAGGGUGCAAGCGUUAAUCGGAAUUACUGGGCGUAAAGCGUGCGCAGGCGGUGAUGUAAGACAGGUGUGAAAUCCCCGGGCUUAACCUGGGAACUGCAUUUGUGACUGCAUCGCUGGAGUGCGGCAGAGGGGGAUGGAAUUCCGCGUGUAGCAGUGAAAUGCGUAGAUAUGCGGAGGAACACCGAUGGCGAAGGCAAUCCCCUGGGCCUGCAUUGACGCUCAUGCACGAAAGCGUGGGGAGCAAACAGG